Molecule: long non-coding RNA, 932 nt
Organism: Syngnathus typhle (broad-nosed pipefish)
Lineage: Eukaryota; Metazoa; Chordata; Actinopteri; Syngnathiformes; Syngnathidae
Exons: 3
Source: RefSeq, a predicted model, not a curated record
AAACGGCGGUUAUCGACAGAGCCUGUAGCUGUGAUUGUGUGCGUGUUUGCCAAAAAGACAUAACUCAACUUCCAAGAGCUCCGUGACCUGUGGUUCUGCGACGCUCCGUGGACCUGUAUUUCUGCGACGCAGACCUGUGGCUGACCCCCUAUACCCUCUCUUGUGGCUGCUCUAUCUUUUGUCUUCUGUCUUCCUUCUAUCUCACAUCCUUAAGAACUUGACAUGCCGAGGAAAGGCAGGCGAUCCCAGGCUGUAAAGUUGAGCUGGGAGCGACGUGCCAAACGUCGAUGCUCCCCGCCACCAGUUACAUGCAGUGAUCCAACCUCACCUACCCGGCAUAAUGACUUCACAAGUGCAAAUACUGCACUUUUUGAAACUCCUGACACAUGUGCAUAUACUGCACUUUUUGAACCUGAACUUGAACAUGGCCUUGAGCCACAUUUUGAAACUGAACGCGGUCAUGAUCCACACUCUGAAACUGACGAACGUGGCCAUGAUCCACUUUGUCAAACUGAACGUGGUCAUGAUCCGCACUUUGAAACUGACGAACGUGGCCAUGAUCCACUUUGUCAAACUGCUGCACGUGCCCUUGAUGCACAUUUUGAGAUUGAUCAUCACCGUGCCAAUAUUGCACGAUUUGAGACUGAUUCCUGUGACAGUGGGCCUGACAUUCCCGCUGCAGCCAUGGCUACUGUGCAACCUCAUUUGGUAACGUAUGUGUUAGCAUCUCACAGCCAAGCUCAUCCGAGAUAUGGAGAAUUCAGAAACAGUCAAUGUGUGGCUAACUCUGUUACAUUGCUGGCUUUCUUGCAGGAGUUCAAUCACCUGACCAGCUCUGACCUUGAUGCUGUUCUUAAUGUCGGCAAUGAACUGUAUACAUGUACUGUUGCUGCAUUGAAAGCCCAAGGAUGCUUCUUGGACAGAUUUCUGAC